Molecule: ribosomal RNA, 785 nt
Filed under: uncultured bacterium
Lineage: Bacteria
Description: bacterial SSU rRNA
Rfam family: Bacterial small subunit ribosomal RNA
Source: RNAcentral
AGAGUUUGAUCAUGGCUCAGGAUGAACGCUGGCGGCGUGCCUAACACAUGCAAGUCGAACGUGAAGGUCGAAAUGAUUACUUCGGUUUGAUUUUCGGCUGGAAAGUGGCGAACGGGUGAGUAACACGUGGGUAACCUGCCUCGAAGCGGGGGACAACCAUUGGAAACGAUGGCUAAUACCGCAUAGUCCCAUUUUUGCGAGAGCAAUGAUGGGUAAAACUCCGGUGCUUCGAGAGGGGCCUGCGUCCGAUUAGCUAGUUGGUGGGGUAAAAGCCCACCAAGGCGACGAUCGGUAGCUGGUCUGAGAGGACGAUCAGUCACACGGGAACUGAGACACGGUCCCGACUCCUACGGGGGGCAGCAGUGAGGAAUAUUGCACAAUGGGGGAAACCCUGAUGCAGCAACGCCGCGUGGAGGAUGAAGGCUUCGGUCGUAAACUCCUUUUCUGGGGGAAGAGACAAGGACGGUACCCCAGGAAUAAGUCACGGCUAACUACGUGCCAGCAGCCGCGGUAAUACGUAGGUGACAAGCGUUAUCCGGAAUUACUGGGCGUAAAGCGCGCGCAGGCGGUUGGUCAAGUCCGGCGUGAAAUCUCCUGGCUCAACUGGGAGAGGUCGUUGGAAACUGAUCGGCUUGAGGCGAUGAGAGGGGUACGGAAUUCCAGGUGUAGUGGUGGAAUGCGUAGAUAUCUGGAGGAACACCAGUGGCGAAAGCGGUACCCUGGCAUUUGCCUGACGCUCAUGUGCGAAAGCGUGGGGAGCGAACGGGAUUAGAUACCCUGGUAGU